GGGAUUGCCCUAGUAACGGCGAGUGAAGCGGCAACAGCUCAAAUUUGAAAUCUGGCUCUUUUAGAGUCCGAGUUGUAAUUUGCAGAGGGCGCUUUGGCUUUGGCAGCGGUCCAAGUUCCUUGGAACAGGACGUCACAGAGGGUGAGAAUCCCGUACGUGGUCGCUAGCUAUUGCCGUGUAAAGCCCCUUCGACGAGUCGAGUUGUUUGGGAAUGCAGCUCUAAAUGGGAGGUAAAUUUCUUCUAAAGCUAAAUAUUGGCCAGAGACCGAUAGCGCACAAGUAGAGUGAUCGAAAGAUGAAAAGCACUUUGGAAAGAGAGUCAAACAGCACGUGAAAUUGUUGAAAGGGAAGCGCUUGCAGCCAGACUUGCUUGCAGUUGCUCAUCCGGGCUUUUGCCCGGUGCACUCUUCUGCAGGCAGGCCAGCAUCAGUUUGGGCGGUGGGAUAAAGGUCUCUGUCACGUUCCUUCCUUCGGGUUGGCCAUAUAGGGGAGAUGUCAUACCACCAGCCUGGACUGAGGUCCGCGCAUCUGCUAGGAUGCUGGCGUAAUGGCUGUAAGCGGCCCGUCUUGAAACACGGACCAAGGAGUCUAACAUCUAUGCGAGUGUUUGGGUGUCAAGCCCGAGCGCGUAAUGAAAGUGAACGGAGGUGGGAACCCGCAAGGGUGCACCAUCGACCGAUCCUGAAGUUUACGGAAGGAUUUGAGUAAGAGCAUGGCUGUUGGGACCCGAAAGAUGGUGAACUAUGCUUGAAUAGGGUGAAGCCAGAGGAAACUCUGGUGGAGGCUCGCAGCGGUUCUGACGUGCAAAUCGAUCGUCAAAUUUGGGCAUAGGGGCGAAAGACUAAUC
Molecule: ribosomal RNA, 847 nt
Filed under: Curvularia trifolii
Lineage: Eukaryota; Fungi; Ascomycota; Dothideomycetes; Pleosporales; Pleosporaceae
Also listed under: 1 other name
Description: eukaryotic LSU rRNA
Rfam family: Eukaryotic large subunit ribosomal RNA
Source: RNAcentral